AUGGACGCCAAGAAGCCGAUCCCGGCUGCCGUCCAGCGGGCCAUCGACUGGGCGCUCGUCACUGCCUGCUUCCCGUUCGUCUCCUUGGCGUUCGCCUACGCGCUCGUCCGCUACGACGUCAGCUGCAGCGAGUGCGUGGUGGCGUUGACGGACGCGCAGAACGCGGAGGUGGGUGCCCUCUGGUUCGGGAUGCUGUGCUGCGCCGUGCUCCAGGCUGCCGCCGCGGCGCUGGCGCUGCUGCUCCCCGCCCUCGCCCACCUCGCGCUCGCGAUCACCAUCGUCGGCCACUACAUGUACGCCGUCGUCUUCCGCCUCCUCCUCGCCGCCGGCGCAGGAUUCCUCUUCAGCAAUAUCUUCAGCCCCGCGAGCAUCGUCCUCUUCGCGGGCGGCGACCUCGUCUACUUCCUGGGGCUCCUUCAGGGAGGUGGACUGAAUGACUGA
RNAcentral lists this ribosomal RNA (441 nucleotides) under Triticum aestivum (bread wheat). RNAcentral describes it as "partial small subunit ribosomal RNA". The record is from RNAcentral. Lineage: Eukaryota; Viridiplantae; Streptophyta; Magnoliopsida; Poales; Poaceae.